AUACCCACUCCCAGCACGGGGAGGUAGUGACGAAAAAUAACAAUAUAAGACUCACAUCCGAGGCCUUGUAAUUGGAAUGAGUACACUUUAAAUCCUUUAACAAGGAUCAAUUGGAGGGCAAGUCUGGUGCCAGCAGCCGCGGUAAUUCCAGCUCCAAUAGCGUAUAUUAAAGUUGUUGCGGUUAAAACGUUCGUAGUUGAACUUGUGCUUCGCACGGGCAAUACCAAGGGUCAUGUAUUUGAUUCGGUAUUUUGUCUUAUCUUCUCUGUUCUUUCGGGAAAUGAGAAAAGUGCGUGAGCGUAUUAUCGGCGUGUUGUUAAAUAUAAUUUUUUAAAUUAUAUUAGCUUCACAUAAGCUUGCUUCAGUGCUCUUUACCGAGUGCAGUUGUGAGCCGAUACAAAUUACUUUGAACAAAUUAGAGUGCUUAAAGCAGGCUUGUAAUGCCUGAAUAUUUUGUGCAUGGAAUAAUGAAAUAGGACAUCUGUUCUACUUUCAUUGGUUUUUUAGACCAAGAUGUAAUGAUUAAUGGAAGCAGUUGGGGGCAUUAGUAUUACAACGCGAGAGGUGAAAUUCUUAGACCGUUGUAAGACUGACUAAAGCGAAAGCAUUUGCCAAAGAUGUUUUCAUUUAAUCAAGAACGAAAGUUAGAGGUUCGAAGGCGAUCAGAUACCGCCCUAGUUCUAACCAUAAACGAUGCCAGCUAGCAAUUGAGUGUAGCUACUACUAUGGCUCUUUCAGUCGCUUCUCGGGAAACCAAAGCUUUUGGGCUCCGGGGGAAGUAUGGUUGCAAAGCUGAAACUUAAAGGAAUUGACGGAAGGGCACCACCAGGAGUGGAGCCUGCGGCUUAAUUUGACUCAACACGGGAAAACUCACCAGGUCCGAACAUAAAUGAGUAAGACAGAUUGAUAGCUCUUUCU
RNAcentral lists this ribosomal RNA (918 nucleotides) under Leptomorphus walkeri. RNAcentral's name for it is "bacterial SSU rRNA". It matches the Rfam family "Eukaryotic small subunit ribosomal RNA", at positions 441 to 1262 of the family's 1831-position model. Lineage: Eukaryota; Metazoa; Arthropoda; Insecta; Diptera; Mycetophilidae. The record is from RNAcentral.